ACAGGAAGGUGGUUGAGCAGCUCGUGAGAAGAGCCGAGAAAGCUGGGUUCAAAGCCAUUGCUCUCACUGUAGACACCCCAAGGCUAGGUCGCAGAGAGUCUGAUAUCAAGAACAGGUAAAGCCACAUCAAUUGAAAUGUGAUAAGAGUUGAUUAGACUCGAAUAUGCAAACAUAUAGCUAAACAAUUAUAGAGUAACGAUGUGUGUUCUUCUACUACAGAUUCACUUUGCCUCCAAACCUGACAUUGAAGAACUUUGAAGGUCUUGACCUUGGAAAGAUGGACGAGGCAAGCAUCGAUCAGAUAGUAUCCAUUACUUAAGUCUGAAUAGUGUCAAUGAUCCACUUAAAAACUAGCUUUAAAGCAUACGGUUUGUUUCCUGAUUAUGUUCCUAAACUUGUUAUGUUUCCACCUGCAGGCCAAUGACUCUGGCUUGGCUUCGUAUGUUGCUGGUCAAAUUGACCGUACCUUGAGCUGGAAGGUAAGAGAAUACAACAAAUUUUCAGAUACCACAGCAAAACCAAAAACUUGAUUCAGAUUGCUCUAACUUUCAUCUACAAAAACAGGAUAUCCAGUGGCUCCAAACAAUCACCAACAUGCCAAUUCUUGUCAAGGGUGUUCUUACAGGAGAGGAUGGUGAGUUUCCAUUUGCCAAACAAAUAAUUUCAACACUCUAGUGUCAUAGAAAUACCUGACAAGGUCAACUAUUAUUGUCCCCAUGCAGCAAGGAUAGCGAUUCAAGCUGGAGCAGCAGGGAUCAUUGUGUCAAAUCAUGGAGCUCGCCAGCUUGAUUAUGUCCCAGCAACAAUCUCAGCCCUUGAAGAG
Molecule: long non-coding RNA, 823 nt
Filed under: Arabidopsis thaliana (thale cress)
Lineage: Eukaryota; Viridiplantae; Streptophyta; Magnoliopsida; Brassicales; Brassicaceae
Description: long non-coding RNA (ATHA_LNC000086)
Source: RNAcentral